AGAGUCUAAUUUUAUAAAACAUCAGACAAAACAUUCUCUUUCUCUCAAUUAGCAGAAGUACACCUGUUUGUCUUUGCUGUGUGAGCAUCUGCAUUAACUUGACCAUGUCUCGUUCUUCACAUUGACGAUAACCAGAGAGAAUGCCUGCUGGAGGCCUGAAUAAGAGGUUUUUAUUCCUUGUGCUUCAUGCUGGGAACAAAGAUGAGGAAGUAAAGAAUGAG
RNAcentral lists this long non-coding RNA (221 nucleotides) under Chinchilla lanigera (long-tailed chinchilla). RNAcentral describes it as "lncRNA (ENSCLAG00000026042.1)". Lineage: Eukaryota; Metazoa; Chordata; Mammalia; Rodentia; Chinchillidae. The record is from RNAcentral.